CCCUUAGAUGUUCUGGGCCGCACGUGCGCUACACUGACGAAUGCAACGAGCUUAUAACCUUGGCCGAAAGGUCUGGGUAAUCUCCAAAUUUCGUCGUGAUGGGGAUAGAUUAUUGCAAUUAUUAAUCUUCAACGAGGAAUGCCUAGUAAGCGCAAGUCAUCAGCUUGCGUUGAUUACGUCCCUGCCCUUUGUACACACCGCCCGUCGCUCCUACCGAUUGAAUGGUCCGGUGAAGCGCUCGGACCGCGGCCUCUUGACGGUUCGCUGUCGAUUGGCUGUGGGAAGUUCGUUAAACCUUAUCAUUUAGAGGAAGGAGAAGUCGUAACA
This 327-nucleotide ribosomal RNA is filed under the name uncultured eukaryote. RNAcentral's name for it is "partial 18S ribosomal RNA". It matches the Rfam family "Eukaryotic small subunit ribosomal RNA", at positions 1470 to 1796 of the family's 1831-position model. The record is from RNAcentral.